CCUCAGUAACGGCGAGUGAAGCGGUAACAGCUCAAAUUUGAAAUCUGGGUCUUUCAGGCUCCGAGUUGUAAUUUGUAGAAGAUGCUUCGGGUGCGGCUCCGGUCUAAGUUCCUUGGAACAGGACGUCAUAGAGGGUGAGAAUCCCGUAUGUGAUCGGUUGCUUGCGCCCAUGUGAAGCUCUUUCGACGAGUCGAGUUGUUUGGGAAUGCAGCUCCAAAUGGGUGGUAUAUUUCAUCUAAAGCUAAAUAUUGGCCAGAGACCGAUAGCGCACAAGUAGAGUGAUCGAAAGAUGAAAAGCACUUUGGAAAGAGAGUUAAACAGUACGUGAAAUUGUUGAAAGGGAAGCGCUUGCAACCAGACUUGCGUGUUGUCGAUCAUCCGGGGUUCUCCCCGGUGCACUCGGCUUCACUCAGGCCAGCAUCGGUUUCGGUGGUUGGAUAAAGGCCUUGGGAAUGUAGCUCCUCUCGGGGAGUGUUAUAGCCCUCGGUGCAAUGCAGCCUACUGGGACCGAGGACCGCGCUUCGGCUAGGAUGCUGGCGUAAUGGUUGUAAGCGACCCGUCUUGAAACACGGACCAAGGAGUCUAACAUCUAUGCGAGUGUUUGGGUGUCAAACCCAUACGCGUAAUGAAAGUGAACGGAGGUGAGAACCCUUAAGGGUGCAUCAUCGACCGAUCCUGAUGUCUUCGGAUGGAUUUGAGUAAGAGCAUAGCUGUUGGGACCCGAAAGAUGGUGAACUAUGCCUGAAUAGGGUGAAGCCAGAGGAAACUCUGGUGGAGGCUCGCAGCGGUUCUGACGUGCAAAUCGAUCGUCAAAUUUGGGUAUAGGGGCGAAAGACUAAUC
This 841-nucleotide ribosomal RNA is filed under the name Neofabraea actinidiae. RNAcentral describes it as "eukaryotic LSU rRNA". It matches the Rfam family "Eukaryotic large subunit ribosomal RNA", at positions 78 to 936 of the family's 3401-position model. Lineage: Eukaryota; Fungi; Ascomycota; Leotiomycetes; Helotiales; Dermateaceae. The record is from RNAcentral.